RNAcentral lists this transfer RNA (69 nucleotides) under Diversibipalium multilineatum. RNAcentral describes it as "tRNA-Pro". The record is from RNAcentral. Lineage: Eukaryota; Metazoa; Platyhelminthes; Tricladida; Geoplanidae.
CUAAAAAUAGUUUAUAAAAAAAUACAAGUUUUGGGGAUUUGAGAAUGUUUAAUAAAAUGCAUUUUUUGA